RNAcentral lists this ribosomal RNA (1230 nucleotides) under metagenome. RNAcentral describes it as "bacterial LSU rRNA". It matches the Rfam family "Bacterial large subunit ribosomal RNA", at positions 1564 to 2805 of the family's 2925-position model. The record is from RNAcentral.
UGAUGACGAGACGCUAAGGCGUUGAAGUGGUGUAUGUCAGACUUCCAAGAAAAGCUCGAAUGUCAUAGAUAAAAAAUGCCUGUACCAUAACCGACACAGGUGGGUAGGUAGAGUAUACUAAGGGGCGCGAGAUAACCCUCUCUAAGGAACUCGGCAAAAUGACUCCGUAACUUCGGGAGAAGGAGUGCCUUAUUUAUAAGGUUGCAAUAACAAGAUCCAAGCAACUGUUUAUCAAAAACACAGGUCUCCGCUAAGUCGUAAGACGAUGUAUGGGGGCUGACGCCUGCCCAGUGCCAGAAGGUUAAAGAAGUUGGUUAGUGUAAGCGAAGCUGAUAACUGAAGCCCUGGUGAACGGCGGCCGUAACUAUAACGGUCCUAAGGUAGCGAAAUUCCUUGUCGGGUAAGUUCCGACCCGCACGAAAUGCGUAAUGAUUUGGAUACUGUCUCGGAGAGAGGCUCGGUGAAAUAGACUUGUCUGUGAAGAUGCGGACUACCUGCACCAGGACAGAAAGACCCUAUGAAGCUUUACUGUAACUUGAAAUUGGAAUUGGACUUUGCUUGCGCAGUAUAGGUGGGAAGCGUUGAAGAUACUCUUGCGGGACUAUUGGAGCUAUCAGUGAGAUACCACUCUUGUAAUGUUAGAUUUCUAACUUUGAACCAUAAUCUGGUCAAAGAACAGUUUCAGGCGGGCAGUUUGACUGGGGCGGUCGCCUCCUAAAUGGUAACGGAGGCGUACAAAGGUUUCCUCUGAACGGAUAGAAAUCGUAUCUAGAGUGUAAAGGCAUAAGGAAGCUUGACUGUGAGACCUACAAGUCGAGCAGGGACGAAAGUCGGUCUUAGUGAUCUGACGGUACUGAGUGGAAAGGCCGUCACUCAACGGAUAAAAGUUACUCUAGGAUAACAGGCUGAUCUCCCCCAAGAGUUCACAUCGACGGGGAGGUUUGGCACCUCGAUGUCGGCUCAUCGCAUCCUGGGGCGGUAGUACGUCCCAAGGGUUGGGCUGUUCGCCCAUGAAAGCGGUACGCGAGCUGGGUUCAGAACGUCGUGAGACAGUUCGGUCCAUAUCCGGUGUAGGCGUUAGAAUAUUGAGAGGAGCCUUCUUUAGUACGAGAGGACCGAGAAGGACACACCGCUGGUGUACCAGUUAUCGUGCCAACGGUAAACGCUGGGUAGCUAUGUGUGGAGAGGAUAACCGCUGAAAGCAUCUAAGUGGGAAGCCCACCUCAAGAU